UACGUAGGUGGCAAGCGUUGUCCGGAUUUACUGGGCGUAAAGAGCGCGCAGGCGGCCCGGCAAGUCGGGUGUGAAAUCCCGGGGCUCAACCCCGGGACUGCAUUCGAUACUGCCGGGCUAGAGGUAGGUAGGGGAGAUCGGAAUUCCUGGUGUAGCGGUGAAAUGCGCAGAUAUCAGGAGGAACACCGGUGGCGAAGGCGGAUCUCUGGGCCUUACCUGACGCUCAGGCGCGAAAGCGUGGGGAGCAAACAGG
This 253-nucleotide ribosomal RNA is filed under the name uncultured bacterium. RNAcentral describes it as "partial 16S ribosomal RNA". It matches the Rfam family "Bacterial small subunit ribosomal RNA", at positions 524 to 776 of the family's 1533-position model. The record is from RNAcentral.